Molecule: ribosomal RNA, 510 nt
Filed under: uncultured bacterium
Lineage: Bacteria
Description: partial 16S ribosomal RNA
Rfam family: Bacterial small subunit ribosomal RNA
Source: RNAcentral
GACGAACGCUGGCGGCGUGCUUAACACAUGCAAGUCGAACGAAGAGCGAUGGAAGCUUGCUUCUAUCAAUCUUAGUGGCGAACGGGUGAGUAACGCGUAAUCAACCUGCCCUUCAGAGGGGGACAACAGUUGGAAACGACUGCUAAUACCGCAUACGAUCUAAUCUCGGCAUCGAGGAUAGAUGAAAGGUGGCCUCUACAUGUAAGCUAUCACUGAAGGAGGGGAUUGCGUCUGAUUAGCUAGUUGGAGGGGUAACGGCCCACCCAGGCGAUGAUCAGUAGCCGGUCUGAGAGGAUGAACGGCCACAUUGGGACUGAGACACGGCCCAGACUCCUACGGGAGGCAGCAGUGGGGAAUCUUCCGCAAUGGACGAAAGUCUGACGGAGCAACGCCGCGUGAGUGAUGACGGCCUUCGGGUUGUAAAGCUCUGUUAAUCGGGACGAAAGGCCUUCUUGCGAAUAGUGAGAAGGAUUGACGGUACCGGAAUAGAAAGCCACGGCUAACUACGUG